CCCUACGGGGCGCAGCAGGCGCGAAAACUCUACAAUGCAGGCAACUGCGAUAGGGGACAUCGAGUGGCGCCCACCUUGGGCGCCUGUCCCACCGUCUAAAAAACGGUGGUUAGCAAGGGCCGGGUAAGACCGGUGCCAGCCGCCGCGGUAAUACCGGCGGCUCGAGUGGUGGCCGAUAUUAUUGAGUCUAAAGGGUCCGUAGCCGGCUCCGCAAGUCCCCCGGGAAAUCCAGCGGCCCAACCGUUGGGCGCCCGUGGGAUACUACGUUGCUUGGGACUGGGAGAGGUGGGAGGUACUCGGGGGGUAGGGGUGAAAUCCUGUAAUCCA
This 327-nucleotide ribosomal RNA is filed under the name uncultured archaeon. RNAcentral's name for it is "bacterial SSU rRNA". It matches the Rfam family "Archaeal small subunit ribosomal RNA", at positions 321 to 649 of the family's 1478-position model. The record is from RNAcentral.